RNAcentral lists this long non-coding RNA (35956 nucleotides) under Xyrichtys novacula (pearly razorfish). Lineage: Eukaryota; Metazoa; Chordata; Actinopteri; Labriformes; Labridae. The record is from RNAcentral.
AGACAGACAGAUGGAAGAGAAAGCAUGCAGCGGAGAGGAGGAGAAACAAAGCGUGUUGACUGAGGAAGUGUGCAUGCCAUGCGGGCCAUGUGCUCGUCUACGUCCCAGCUCGCCGACUCUCGCCGCUCUGAGACUCACUGCAGCUUCUCCUGCUCAAGUCUCCCACUUUUCACUCUAAGGUAGGACCGUCUUUACUUGUUCCUGUGUGUUUCAAAGAGUUUGUUUCGCCUCUUUUCUCGCCUUUUUCCACCUUUUUUUUUUUUUUCACCCCAUGCUGUGCUGCUUUUUUUUUUUGUUGGGUUUGAUGAUGCCAGAGUGAGAAAAAGUUUGAGCUUUGUUUUAAAUGCUGCAUGAUUUGAUUUUGCAAAAGCACAAAAUGUUGAAUUUCACAUGUUGAAUUCAUGCAAAAAAAAAAAAAAAAACUGUGGUGCAAUUUAGUCAAUGUUGGCAGGUCUGGCUGUUUGUUGCCAUGUGUGUGUUGGUGUGUGUGUGUGUGUGUGUGAGUGAGUGUUUGUGUGGUGGUCUGGUAUACUGGUAGAAUAUUGGCAGGACUGAGGAAUGUGUGAGAUCUCUUUGUUCCCUCUCUCUCUUUCCCUCUCUCUCUCUCAUUUUCUUCUUUUUUCUCUCUGGGGUUGCACACACACACACCACACACACACACACACACACACACACACACACACUCUCUUACACACACAUACACACACAUGCAGUCAAACCAACUCUUGCAGAAAACCAGUUGAAACUUCCCACCGGCAGGAGAGAAAUGUCUGGAAUGUGAUUAUCACGUAUUUGUGUUUAUUUUAUCACUGCGGGUCGCUCGCAAAGCAAAGAGGAAACCAGAUCAGGCGCGUGCACGUCACUUAGCGUGCAAUAAUGUGUGUGUAUGUGUGUGUUCAUGUGUGUGCGUGGUGCUGGUGGGUGGGUGGGUGGGUUGGGAGGGGACAGGGUAGGAGGGUAAAGAGUGAGAGCUAUUUGGCAGUGCACGUGAGUGUGUGGGUGGUUGUGUGGGUGUCAGGGUGAGUGGGUGCAGAGCUCUUUGAGUGAGAGCACAUGUGACUCUGAGUGUGUGUGGGUGUUGAAUGUGUGUCUGUGUGCGUGCACAGAAAGGUGAAAAGUAUGUGUGUGCAAAGGUAAGGUGAUUGUGUGUUUCCGAGUCUACCUUUGCAUCAAACGGAGGCAGAGGAAAGACAAAAAAAAAACUACUCCUCUUUCCAAAACCUUUUGCUGUCCCUCUUUCUUUCUUUCUCUUACAUGCACACACACACACAUGUACACACACAUGCACACACGCAAGGUUCAGGCGCCUGUCAAACCCAGUGCAUUCCUGAGAGCUCGAACACACGGAGUCUGAAUGGUGGGAUGAAUGCGGGGAAAUUCAGCUGAAACGUGAGGACAAAAGCCAGGGGGACAUUUAAGAGGGUUUAACUCGGCAGAACCCUGGGAAUCAGGGAGGAAACACACACACACUAAAACACACACGGAAACACACAUGCACGCUUGCAUUAGCGCAUGCCUGCACGUGCACUGAAAUGAACUGUGUAUACAUCUCGACACACACACACAUAUGUACAGCUGCGGCUCCAACAGGCUGUUAGAGCCGGGAACGGAGGGGAAUUCCCAGGGAGGAGACAGUGAAAACACACACUGCACCUCUGAAUGUACACACACACACACACAUACACAUGCACACACACACACACACAAAGGCCCAAGAAGCCAACACACUGCGCUGCAGGUAUCUCUGCAGUCCAUUAGUAAACCAUCGAGUUUCACGGCGAGCUGAAGAAUAAAAUCCUCAGAAAUGUGCAAAAAAAAAGUCAUGAAUUCUCUGAGACGUUUAAAGCUUUACAUGUCAACUUAAAAGCUUUUUAAAUCACAAAUACACACAUUUUUAAAACAACCUAAAACACUCUUUUAUCCACGUUAAAAAGAUUGCACAAAUCCCCUUUAAUGUGGAGCUUUACGAUGUUUUCAGUCAUCAUAUCAAAAAUCUUCCUUGCUGGUCUUUCAAUAAUGCACCACGUCAGGUUUUUAUUCAUUUAAUAUACCAUUCCUUAGAGUGAUGUCUCCUUUUUCUGUGUGCGGUUAUGAUUCAGCCGAGGUUUUAAAAGAAAAAAAAGCGGCAGGUGUUAAAAAGGUGUUCUGAUAAUGCCAAAUUUUGACAUUUCUCCAAAUCUUAAAAGCCUGAACCCGCCUGAGAGGAGCUCUUACGCCGCCGCACUGAAACUGACUGGUUUCCAAAAUGAAUUUGCACUUUAAGAACCAAAUUGAUGCAGAUUACCUGAGAGAGAUUUUCUACUUUUCCCUGUUGAAGAGAAAUUCAGUCCCUGUCCAGCUUUAAUAAACCACCUGGAAUUCCCUGAAGGACCUUUAAAGACUCCAGGAACUGCUUUGGGAACCUUUUUAAGUGCACACAGCAAAGAGGGGGGGGAAGUGCAUCUCAUUGUGUGCAGGAUUUUUCUUUUACAGUUGAAAAGCGUCAUUUUUGUUGCUCUAAUUUCGUAGAUUUGAUUGCUAUAAUCUUCUCGAUUUUCUGAAAAUAAAGGGACUUACUUGUGAAUUACUUAUUUAAAAAAACACCUUUUGGAUUUUGUUUUUCUCAUCUGCAUCUUUGCAGAAACAAAGGAAGUCUGAUUUUUUUCAAUGACAUGAAGGUGUAACAGCUGUUUCGCAAAUGCACCUGGACAGCUUGCGAAAGACCGCCUAGAAAUUUCUUAAGGACCCUAAAAGGUUCCAGGAACCUGCUUGGAGAUCCUUUUUUUAAUUGCACCGCCUGCAAGACAGAAACUGCGAAGAAAAAAAUCCAUUUAGAGCCGAGAAGAAGGAGUUUUCUUUCUCAAAAUUUACAGCUGAAGUUUGUGAAAUUGUUUUCAUUUUUGAGAGAGAAUAAAAAUUAAGUCGCCUCAUAGAUCACUCUCUGGAUUGGACAGUUUUAAGAUCGAUACAUCAUUUGUGGUUCACCAGGAAAGAAAGCAAGAUCUUUUUGUCAGUAAUUAGAAACCGAAUGAUGGAAUUCUGCACCUGCUCAGUUUGAUAAAGUCUCCAUGGAUAUUUCUGAAGGACUCUAAAAGGUUCCAGGAACCUGACUCGAGAUCGGUCGUGAUUGCACGACACCAGAAACCGAAAAUGUGCAUCGAAUUGUGUGAAGAUUUUGCAGCAAAGUUGCAUCUUUAAUUAAAGAAAUCAUCGACAUUUAUGGAAAAAUGACAAAAGAAUCAAACUGUUUGAUUUUUGCUGUUUUGUCACUGACGAUAAUUCCUAUUUGCGACUAGAAAGACAAGGAAAUCUUUCUGUUUUCAAUAAAAGCCACUUCAGUUGGUUCACCAAUAAUGAAAUUCAGCACCUGCUCAACCCUCAAGGACCCUAAAAGGUUCCUGGAACCUUUCUUUGGAUGCCUUUUCAUUGCACAGCAUGAAAAACCGAGAUUGAGCAUCAGAUUGUGUGAGGAGGUGAAGUCAGAAGCGUUAAUGAAGGGUUAGAAAAUAUGAGAUUGGUUGAGUAAAUGUUGCACCGUCAGUUUUCUAAAUCGUCCAGACCUAGAGGAGAAUUUAAAAGGAUUCGAUUUUGCUGUUUUUAAAGGAUUUGUUAUUAAAUCUGCGUCUUUAUCUCUGACUUUAAAGUGAAAGUUUGUGUCUCAGGUUUAGAUUCCAUCAGGUGUUUGUCUGAAAAUCUGGAUGUAAGUGGACAUUAGAGGUCAACCUUCCUCUCUGCCUCCUGCAUGCUCUAAGUGGGGGGUCAGGGGAUAUUUGUUCUGACCUGAAAUCAACUUCAGAACGAUAGAGCCGCAGAAUCAGAUGCCCCUCUGCUGAGAAACAAGAAGGGAAACACCUGGGAUUAUCCCCAAUCUGUGCAGCUUUUGCAUGUUUCAGAUUGAGCUGAUCUGCUGUCUGUGUGUGUCUGUGUGUGUGUGUGUGUGUGUGUGUGAUGGAAAAAGUGAUGAGUAAUACUCGGGGAUCUUGACGCUCAGUUCAUGUUCAGUUUGGCGCAUAAUUGAUUCAGCUUGAUCUGGUUUAUGGAGCUGAAAAUGAGACAAAAAGCAUGUGAGCGAUUUCCUGAUUUUACGCUCCAGUCACGAGAGUCGAUGAUGAUGAUUGGAGAGUCGAAUUAAAGGUCAGGUUGUGAUUUUCAAGAUGGUUCAGGUGAAUUUGAUGCAGUGAAAAGGUCACGAAUCAUGUGAGGUAAUUAAGGGUGGAGAAAAAAUGUGAUAAAACGCAGCUUUCAUGAGGAGAACCUGACGUUAUUUCGCCGAUAACCUGCGUCUGAAAGGGUUAAAUGAAUCUGGUCAUGAGAUUUACAGAAAGACAUUUGAUUGAAGAUAUUUCUGGGAAGUUUAGGUUGAAGAAAAAGUACCCAUCCCAAAUACCAGAAAGUGAGGUCAUAAGUGAGGCGAUAAGAGAAAGAGUGGGCACAGUAAUUUAUUCAGGGAAUUUCACAAUAUGAAGCAGCGAGCGAGCGGCUGAUAUUGUCAGCGAGCUGCAGAGAGCUCAUAAAGCUGCUCAGACCUGUGCCGCCGCCGCCGCCGCCCAGCCCGAGAAUCAAACAAGAAGAAGCCGAGAAAACAGAAGUUAAUUUCCCAGACUGCUGCAGAGAGUCACUCUGAGAAAAACUGAGAGUGAUGAGGUCUGCACGAGGAAGAGGAGGAGGAGGAGCAGGUGAGCAAGAACAAGAACCUCGAAUUUAUACUAAUGUAGAUGCAUGAGUUUGAGUUUCAGCAGGUACAAUCCCUCUGCAGGUGUAUUUCCCCACAGGGAGAUGAGAUAGAGAGGCAUCAGUCCAGAUAUGAUGAGAGAGCGUUUCACAUUCACUGUUCACUCACAACCGACUCAAAAUACAAGAAUAAAGAGAGAGUCUGAAGAAUUUAAGUUUCCACGCUGCUUCAGUUUGAUGUUUUCUUCAUCAGAUUGGUAAAAAUAGCUUUUCUUACAUUCAUGUUUUUGUUAAAAAAUAAAGCAAUAAGGGAGAAAAGGAUGUUUCUUUUUAAACGGUUUCAUAAAAAUGCACAAUUCUGGCAUUUCUGCAGCUUUUAAAAGCCUCAAAUCAUCUGCGAGAAGCUUUUUAAACCAGAGAGAGGUUCAGAAACGAGCAUUUAAAACACCAAAUGGAUUCAGGUGAUUUCAGAUCUGCAUGAGAAGGAAGGAAGGAAGGAAAUCUCUCUGUUCACUCACCUGUUGAGCCUCAAGUGAAUUUCAGCUUGAGAAGGACCUGCUUACAGAAAUGUGUUUGUAUCCUGUGAAAAAAAUGAAUAAAGAAAUGAUUAUUAAUAACCAUGAAGAGUGAAAGUUGUUCUGUAUAUGAAGCUGCUUCAGUUAUUAAAAUCAGAGGAUUAGAAGGUGGAAUAACGGAGAGGAAAAAUGAACAUUCGCCUGCCAUAAAAUGAUGUUUCUGAGGGGUGAAUUAUUCCCUUUAGCCUCUUCAAAUGUGACAGAAAAGAAUAAAGUCUUUAAUUAUCAAGAGCAAAAAUUAGAGGUAUAAAUGUAAAAGAAAAAUGCUGUAGUUAUCCAGCAAAUCCUGCAGCUCUAAAUCUUAAAAUCAUCAAAUUUUGAUCAAACACAGAAGAUUUGUUUCAGUCUAAAACUCUCAGUUUUUGCUUUUUCUGCAGGAUUUUUUAACUCUUAUCUAAAAGUUUUGUCUCUUUAAUUUGCAUGAAUGAAAUGUGCAUAAUUGGAGUGGACUCUGCUUCACUGAAUUAACGUGUUUCUGCUGUAAAAGCACAAAUUUAGACAGGAGUUUCGUUUUUUUUCUCCAUAAUAAUUAAAUUCGGGACUUUCUCUUUAAGUCGUGCUCUCUGCUUCAUCAUUUCCCUCUUUUAUUCCCCUCUGUCAUUCUUCACCUCUCUCGGAGUUGUCACAGUCUUUACUGCACUCAGACUCUCCGCGGGCGCACCGGGCGCACCGGGGACGGUCCCCGCAGCGUGGGGGGGCGACACGAGGAAGUAGAGAGGGAGGGGAGGGGGGGUUCUUUCUUGCGGGUAGACUGAGGCUGACUCUGGGGACGGAGCUGCGGCCGACUGCCGCAGGUUUUGGGGGAACCAGCUUCUCACUCUGAGGUCGCCGGGGCAUUUCCGAGCGAUCCGGGGUAAAACCCGGCUGACACACAGAGACAAAACAGAGAGAGAGAGAGAAAGAGAGAGAGAGUGAAAGAGAGAGAGAGAGCGAGAGAGAUCAGGGCACAAACAGCCUCAGAAACAUCGAUCCUCCUCCUCCUCUCUUCUGCAGAUAUCUGCGGCUGUCUGAGCUCGUUUCACGGACACUUUUACGCGCAGCUCUCGGUGAUGUUUGAUUUGGUCUUUUGUGUUUCUGUGCGCAGAGGACAAAACCAGGAGAGCUGACUGAGCCUGCACACGGGGGAAGGUGUCUGGAAAAAGGGAGCUGAUUUUCUCCUGCAACUUCUAAAUCCAAUGGCAGCGACACCGAAGAACACAGGUAACACAUUUAUAUUCUUAUCCGUGAUUUUAACACAGAUUUGAACAUUUUUAAGAGACACUUUUACGCCUUAAAAUCAUCCAAAAUUUCUGCUCCAAAUCAGAGAACUGUUGAUGCAUGUUUCUAUAUCAUAUUCCUAAAUUUGACUUUAUCACUGUCGGUGUGUUUGAGUUGUGUUGGCGUUGUUUGUGCGUUCCUGCAGCAGUGUGUGUGUGUGUGUGUGUGUGUGUGUGGUGAGACUGUUGAACAUGGCAUUGCAACAGUGUGUGGUCUCCUCCAGCUCUGGCAAGACUAUUGUGCACUCUUCACGUGCGCAUUUGUUCGUGCGCGUGCUUGCUUGUUGGUGUGUGUGAGAGAGAGAAAAGAGAGAGAGAGAGAGAGAAAAGAGAGGGAGGGAGGGGGGGAGAGGAGGAAUGUGAGUCGGGCUGGAGGAAAUUCUUGUGUUUUGGAAUGCGUUUACCCCGGGGGGAGACCCCGUGACUCCGGGAGAGAGAGAGAGAGAGAGAGAGAGAGAGAGAGAGAGAGAGAGAGAGAGAGAGAGAGAGAGACAGGGGUGUGAUUGCAUGGCUUUCUAAGAAAUAAUUGAAUCAUUGGUGUUAUGCUGUUUCAUGCAAGUCUCAUGCAAAUGCAGUGACAGUGAAUAUUUCAUGAUGAACAUUUUUGCAUAUUUUUAUGAUCAUUUCUCUCUCUCUGAGGAAGAGGACUAUAAUUAAAACCAUGCACGCUCACUUUCACACACACACACACACACACACACACACAGCGGCUCUGCAUCCAACAGGGGGAGCUUGUGACACAUGGAGCUGGAAAAUCAGUUAUUAAUGUGACACUAAUAUCAGCCUUCAAUUUCACAUGCGUUAACAAAGAGACAGUCAUUUCUUUUAGCAAAACACUCCGUGAAAAGUGGAUGAAAGGGCAGCUCAGACUUGCUUCCCCCUCGGUUCUUGGCAGAUUCUGCGUCUUUUAAAAUGGGACAUAGAUUUUAAAAAAUGUCAAAAAGUGCGUCUUAAAAAUAUGAAACAAAUGCACAUUUCAGAGGCAGACAUAGUCUAUGAUAAGAGCUGGAUUUAGCAGCUUUCUUUCUGCAGAACAUGCUGGACGUCUCCUACCUUGCAUUAAAGAAUACAUGCACGGUAGUAUUUUGGGAAAUUCAUCUAAAAUAUGUUAAAAUUUAUCUAUUUUAAAUCUCUUUUAGGCGAAGAUGUUUUGCACAUUUCAGAGGCAGACAUAGUCUAUGAUAAGAGCUGGAUUUAGCAGAAUGGUGAUUUCUUUCUGCAGAAUAUGCUGGACGUCUCUUACCUUGCGUUAAAGAAUACAUGCACAUGUUAGUAUUUGGAGAAAUUCAUGUAAAAAAUGUUAAAAUAUAUCUAUUUUUAAUCUCUUUUAGGUGUUAAAGGUGUUUUGCACAUUUCCAAAAUAUCACUCAAGCAAUAUUACCGCAAGGCGUCGACAAAAAGAGCAUUUUAAGUUCAUAUUAUUAACAAACAAACAAGAUUAAAUCAAGUUUCUGCCAACUUCCUCCAACAGGCAGAAACCCCGAGCAGAACCAGACUGAAAUCUCCCCCCCAAACUCGUACGAACUCGCUGGAUUCGGAUCAUUUAGCACGUAAAGAAGGAGACAUUUCUAAAAGCAUUAGAGGAAACUUCUCCCUGAAGUCUAAAUGAUGAAUUUUUGGAGAUGCUGUGAUGCUCAGCAGGAACUCGCCGCCUCGCUCUGAUGUGUCGCACAGUCAGAACAGAAAGCAUCCAUCACUCUGAAUGUGCUCUGCUAAAAUCAAGUGUUAUAUUGUGAAGUAUUCAGACAGUCACAUGGCUGUAAACACAUGCACACACACACACACACACACACACACACACACACACACACACACACACACACACACGCGCGACUGUUGCAGAUGAUGUAUUCGUUUUAAAAAGCCGACAGUGUUUAUCAUUCCCUGCUCUUAAAACUUGCACAGAAGUUGUUUUUUUUUUGGAUGUAAGCGUUCACCGGACAGACUGGGGUUAGAGUCCCGGUUGGUAUUGGACAGAGAAGAGUGUUUCUGGAACAGCGCUGCAGACUAAAAGCUCGCCCACACACAAAUGUGAGAUAUUCUAAUGAGCAAUCUGGACCAUCUGAAUAUUAUAUUCCUCUUCGCAGUACAGACGUGUUACUUUGUGCAACUCUUAUCAUUUCUGGUUUAUAAAAAAAAAAAAAAAAGUCUGUGUUUUAGUUUGAGAAAGGUGUGAGUGAUGAGGAGACGAUAUGAGUGACGUGAUCCUCUGCCACCUGUCUUUCACAGCCUCUUCAUCAUCAUCGGUUGAAAAGGAAGCAACAACCAGAGAGCUCCUGUCCUGUCCUGCUGGUAAGAAUAUCACACAUUAUCUCUGAUUUUAAGUGUUGCUGAAAAAGUGUGAAUUCAUGUAUCGAGUGGAAAAGUUAACCCUGGCAGCAGAAACUCGGCUCUUUUCUUCCACUCAGAGGGUUUUUCGUUAAUUUGAGAGAUUAGUUGGUGAGAGUUUGUGCAGGGGGAGAGAAUUUGACAAACUUUUCCUCCGUUCCUCGGUGUCACUACAGCAGAUCAAACCCUCCCUGUAGCUGUGAUUUAAAAAUAACCGAGCUCAGUACAGUAGCCAUGUGCACAUGAAACAUUUGACUUAAUGUAAACCCAAAAAAUAACAAUCAGGCUGCGUGAUUCACACACACAUCGAGCGUGUUCAGCCCACACACUCCCACGUGUUUCCCCUUCCUCUGCUGCCUCAGAUGUGAGGCACAUGACAUCAUUAAAGAGGUGCUCUAAAAUCAGUGUGGGUACUGCGUGUGCGUAGGCAGAGAGUGUGCGUGUGUGUGUGUGUGUUGUUUCUGUGUGGGUGCAGGAAUGAAAGCCAAAGCUCCAGAGCCGUGGGCCCGGUGCUGGCUGCCUGUGUGUGCCCAGCCGGAGGCUCUGGUCCUGGGCUGCGCUGCCUCCCACGCUGGGGUUCGGUCGGGGCUCUGAGUGGGAGGAGGAGUGGGAGGAGGAGUGGGCCGGGGCUGUGAGUCAGCCUGCUGCAAAGCCCCCAGACGGGAGACCGCUGAGGGAAGAAACACACCACCACACAAGAGUCUCCUCUCCCUGCCGGCCUUCGCAGAAACGUUAAAGUUUCUAAUGAGGAGGAUCAGACGGGGGGGACGGAAACACUCUGCAUCAGCUCAUCUCUGAAUGAGUUUUCUGCAGACACGUUUGUAAACACAAAAUAGACUUAAGGAGUUUUUUACUUCUUAGUUUGUUUUGUUUUGAGAUGAUCCAGGUUUAGUUUCUAUAAAUGUCAGAGCUGUUGCUAUAAGACAGUCAUUUUGCGUUCGGCAGCUCUGUGAUUCCUCAUGAUUACUCUUGCAUGUUUGACAUCCAAAUGUGCAACUACAGCAAAAACUGCUUUCUCCAUCUGUGCCUGUGUGCCCCUUAAAUGAAGGAGCUGUACAUCAGUUUACUCACGAAAUGGCAUAGAUAUAUUCUACAUUUGUGGAUGCACAUACAUGAACUUUGGGGAAUGACCGAAAGAACGAGAUCGUGGAUACAAGUGGCCGAAAUGGGUUUCCUCCUUGGAGAUAGGGUAAGGAGCUCAGACACUCGGGAGGCGCUCAGAGUAGAACCGUAGGAGUCAGCUGAGGUGGCUCGGGCAUCUGGUUAGGACGCCUUCUGGACGCCUCCCGUUAGAGGUGUUCCAGACAUGUCCCACCGGGUGGAGACCUCGUGGCCGGCCCAGGACCAGAUGGAGGGAUUAUAUCUCUCACCUGGCCUGGGAGCGCCUGGGAAUCCCCCCGGAGGAGCUGGUGGAAGGGGUUGGGGUGAGGGCUGUUUGGGCUUCCCUCCUGAAGCUGCUGCCGGGAGCUGAGAAUGACGUCACUAGUUACCUGAGUGACCAGUGUUUCAGUUACGGAGUCGGAAAAAAGCAAAAACUGAGGCAGAAACAAGAUGGCUACAUCUACGAAAGUUAUUUCAGCGCUUGCCUCGGAUAUUCGGAUAGGGCAAUCGCUAAAAUAACUUUCGUAGAUGUAGGUAUCUUGUUUCUCCGAUGGAUUUUCAUUUUUUCCAACUCGGUAAAUGAAACAAUGGUAACUCGGGUGUGACGUCAUUUUCAGCUCCGACAUCUGACCUCCGAGGUAACUUGAAUGCAGCGGACAUCAGCUACCCUGCUGAAACUGGGUUUUUGGGGUCAACUAAAGUCUUAUUUUAGUUUUCUUUCUUUUUCUUCUAUAAGAUGAGAUUACUAAGCGUAUACUCCACUUGCAUCUGCCCCAAACCAAUAGUGCUGUACCUGCUCGGUUCAGUGAAUACACUCCCAGUGAGUCUGAUCAUGAGAGGAAGAUUUCAACGUCUAUAACGUUUUUAGAAAAGUUGAAGACAGAUUUGUUUUUAAAGCUGUCAUGACAUUUCUGAUUUGUGCUGCUGGGUUUAAAAAUCAGAUGUUAAUUGAUGAGGGUCGUUAAAAUCCCAUUUCAGCAAAUUGUUAAACUCCAUCCUGAGAGGUGGAGGUCAGGUGGAGGGCCGCGGUGACCCGGUGAUCUCAGCAGCGUUUUGUCGCUCUGAUAAUGGAAGGUGGUUCUCCAGGAAACUCAGAGGGAGUCCACCAGUCUGGUACAAGGGGGGGUAGCUGGAGCCAGGCCGGGGCGUGGAGCAGAGCGGUGCAGCGGAGGAUAGGGUGGGUGGGUGGGAAAUGCAUUGGCGUGUGGAAGCGAGGAGGAGGUGGAAGAGUGGGAGGAGGAGGAGGAGGGACGGGCGUUAAAAGAGGCAGGCGAGGAGCGUGAGGGAAGGACGGGGAAGUGAGAACAGGAAACGCUGGUCGGAGUGGAAUGUUUCACAAGAAGGCUUCUCCGCCCUGCGAGCGUCAGGACGAGGGCGUCUGCUGCUCAGACAGCCACCAGCCAUCCUCACACACACACACACACGUACACACACACACACACAUUCUCCACAGUGUGACCCCUCACCGCUUUGGCAGGGUUAGCUUUUAUAUCCUGUGAGCAGAGGAGUCACUGCCUGGACUGAGCAGCUCUGUGUGACUGCAGGACAGAGAGAGAGAGAGAGAGAGAGAGAGAGAGAGAGAGAGAGAGAGAGAGAGAGAGAGAGGGGUGUACUGGAGCUGGUUUUCCUCUGACACCUCUGAAGGGAAGAGGAAGAGGAAAGGGGGAGGAUGAAGAGGAAAGGAGGAGCAGAGAGGAGAGGGACUCACAGGGCAGGGAUGAUGGGGUGGAGUGCUGCACCGCUGGGGUCCUUUAAAGGAGUCACUGCGUGUUUACUGGAAAUACAAAAGCAACAUUUGUAGCAUCACAGCCAGGUUAUAAAUUUUAAUGUGCGUUUGCUCGUUAAUAUGGAAGAUGCCGAAAAAAAGGCUGUUUUAGCAGUUCUGCUGGCGUGCAUCUCCACCUGUAGUUCUAAACAUUUCAAGUAGCUGUUCAAAAAGUACAGAUUUUUAUGUUAAUGGUUAGAUUUUCUGUUUUGAUUUUUGGACGGGAAUAUCCCAAUUGGUAACGGAAAAGUCUUUCCUUUGCAUUUAAUGGAAGGCCAUGUUCAAAUCAGAGCUGGAGUUUUAAUUUUAGUUAUGAUUUUAGCUCCUCACAAUCAUAAAAAACUGCUUAUCACGACUGUAUGAUAUUGUGCAGCCCACUUUGUCUUGCUCGUUUUGCCUUUUAUAGUGAAUCAGGUGCUUUUUGUCCUUAAAGGGAUAUUCCAGCGCAAAGUUAAUUUAGGGUCAAACACACUGUAACACCGAGUUACACAACCCCUCGAGAGAUGAAUGUUGUUGACCGCUUGCUUCUCUAGUUAUACCAACUUUAGUCAUGACCGCACGAUAGCAAUACACAGUGGUCUGAGUAGCCACACACAAACCUCAACCAAACGCCACUCUAUAACCAAAAAUAAUGCUCAGAACAGCACCUAACUUCAUCAACAGUACAUAUAGGGUCCCAGCCAUAGUACUAGCCACCAAACAGCUUUUUAACUUUGCCUAAUUUCUUUCAUAAAGAGACUAAACACAACUCACCUACUCUAUUCCAGCAGCCGCUUGUUUGUAGCAAGACCUCAGGUAAAUCCAUUACGGACUGUUGCGGGGGGAAGAACAUUUAUGAUCAUUUCUUCGUGGAAAUGUAAUCAGACCAAGACGCUGCAAAAUGAUUAAUAUGGUGAUUAUUGCGUCAAGGAAAUGAUAAAGAAAUGAUCAUAAAUGUUUUUCCUUGAGCUGUGUCACCCCGCUGUAGUCCGUAAUGGACUGGCCCGAGGUCUUGCUACAAACAAGCGGCUGCUGGAAGAGAGUAGGUGAGUUGUGUUUAGUCUCUUCGCUAAAGAAAUUAGGCAAAGUUAAAAAGAUGUUUGGUGACUAGUGCUGUGGCUGGGACCCUAUAUGUAAUGUUGAUGAAGUUAGGUGCUGUUCUGAGUAUUAUAUGCGGCUAUAAAGUGGCGUUUUGGUUGAAGUUUGUUUAUGGCUCCUCAGACCGCUGUGUAUUGCUAUCGUGCGGUCGUUACUAAAGUUGGUAUAACUAGAGAAGCAAGGGAUCGGCAACAUUCAUCUCUCUAACUGGGGCUGUCUAACUCUGUGUUACGGUGUGUUUGACCCUAAAUUAAUUUUACGCUGGAAUAUCCCUUUAAAAACAGAGUGUGUUCUCAGCCCUUCCCCUAAAACGGGUCUUACUUUCAGUCCAUCGUCAUGAGGUCAGAUCGAUGUGCAUCAAAGUUUGAACUCUCAAGGGAGUUGCAGACUUAAUAACAGACUGCUGUAUCUUCAGUGAGUUGUGCUGCAGCUGCAAGUGGACAGAGGAGAGCAGGAGUUGCUCAUGUGUGUAUGUGUAUGUCUGAAAAGUCAAAAACAGAAACAAAACAGAGAAAUGGUUCUGAAGAUAUAAACAUUCAAGUAAAGGCGAAGAAUGUGGCGCAUGUCCACAAAUCAAAUAUGUGAAGUCUGAAAUAUAAAGAUCAUGGCGACAUACACAAAUAGAGGCUGUAAUUUAUGUAAGAAAUGUUCUGAAUUUAUCUAAAAUGGGAGGUAUAACGUCACAUAUCUUGACCCCAUAGUUUAACCAUUGCAUCACGUUUAAAGUAUUUGUGUGUGAUGUAAUCAGAGACACUUGCAUAAGUGAUGGAAAAUUCAAACAGCACCUAAACGCAUCACUGCUCCAGCUGCUCUGGAUGUCUCAGCAGGCUCAGAGGUGCCGAGGUAUCCCUGAGAGUGUGUAUGUGGAUUUGUGUGUGUGUGUGUGUGUGUGGAUUUGUGUGUGCAUAUUACCCUGUGAUAACCCUUAGUCUCACACACACACACACACUCGUACUGACACGGUGGUUCACACGUUACUGCAGGGCAUUGGAGAGAGAUAAGACACAGAGUCAUGCCUCCCCAGCGUGACAGUGACAUCACAGUUGUAUCUGUGUGUUCACUACCCCAGCACACACACACAUACACACACACACACCUCCCCCUGUGUGCUAGAAAGAGACCAGCCUAAUAUAGUCAGCAUGGAUCACACACACACACUUAGACACACUUCCUCACAGGGCCAGAAGCAAAGGGGAUAAGGUGGGGGGAUCCGCCUGUCAUAUUUCCAUCUCCUGUCCUUGGUUGGUUAUAAGCAUGUGUUCCUCCAGAGCCGAGUGUGUGUGUGUGUGUGUGUGUGUGUGCGUAUGUGGGUGUGUGUGAAUGGGAUGACGUCGCUGUUACGUCUGUUGGUGUCCAUCACUGGCUCAGAGUCCAGUCUUGGCAGAGACAGGUGCAUCCAUGGCUGCCUGUGUGUGUAUGUGCGUGCGUACGGGUUGGUUUUUGUAGCCUAUUUGGGACAUGUCCAGUGUUGGACUUUGCUGGGACUAAUUGUCCUCUAGGGGACCCACUCUGUCCUGGAAAGGCUUUCUCUGAUGUUCUGGCCCUGCUUCCUGUUUAAAGAUAUUGUGUGUAUAAGUCGGUGUGUUGCUGUAUCAGAUGGUUUUUGUUAACUUAUCGUCUCAGAGCUCUGCUUGUGGGGAUCUCGAACCUGUUUUUGGUGCAUCACAGGGACCAUUUCUAAAACAAAAACCCUUCGUAUGGGGACCACUACUUUUUGUAGUGACACACUUGUUAUAAAUGCUGCAAAAAGUUGUUUCUGAUGUUUUUGUUUCACCACCUAGUUUGUGUGUGUAUGUGGAAUCAUUUUUGUUACGUCACAGGGACCUUUUCUCAUAUAAAAGCCUUAUUUAUGGGGACUACUUUGUCUUGUAAUCACACAUCUGUUACAAACACUGCUAAGUGUAAAUCUCAUUUUGUUUUGUGUGUGUGUUUAUGUUUAUUAGAUUGUUCCUGCUGCCUUAUGGGGACCUUGACAAAUAUCAAAACACUACUUGUGGGGACCACUAUUUCUUUAGGACACAAGUUGGCUGCAAUUGCCUCAGAAUGUUAAAUUUGACGUUCCCAUGUUGCCUUAUUUUCGUCGAGUGUGUGUGUGUGUGUGUGUGUGUGUGUGUGUGUGUGUGUGUGUGUGUGUGUGUGUGUUUCUUUUGGUUGUUUUUAUGAACUUAUAAGGACCACUUUUUUUUUUAGGGACAACUUGUUACAAAAGUCUUUGCUGAUAUCUCAAUUUUGCUUCAUUUUGUUAGCCCGCAUGCUAACUUUGUGAGUUUAAUGUAUAUGUUUGUGAGAGUGCUUUGCUUGCAUCAGGGAGGCUUUGUUCAACAUUAAAACUCCACUAAUAGGAACCGCUGAAGUUAAAUCUGGCAAGCAAUAUGUGAUCAAUGUCAUGUUGUGUAGCAGCCAUUGCUGUGUUAGGGACUCCCUGAUGUUAGACAGCUACUGAUGAAGAUACCUUGUUGAAAAGAUCUAAACACAUUUUUAGAGUUAUUCAAUUAGAUAGCUUUCAGAGAGAUUGAGAAAAGAAAAGGCCUGACCUGCCCUAUAUUUUUGCCCAAAUGCCAGGUAAAUGCAUUCUUAAUCUACCUUGCUAGUCUCAUGAACCUGUUAACAACUGUGUCUAUCAUCACAGACUAGUUGCACCAGCAAAUAUAUUUUUUAUGUUAUUUUUUAUUUAGCUUAUACAUUUUUAAAUCAUUCAGUUGCUACCACAACUGAGUAAUUUUAACAAAGCUAAGCUUGUCAACAAACUCGCCAGCUGGUAAAAUAACGCGAUACAAGAUUGUUUCAUCAAUUUUCUGGUGAUCAAAAAUAAAUUGAAAUCAACAGGUCACUUAGUAAUUGGCUUUUUUUGUUGUGCAAAGUUAACAAGGUUCUUUUAAUUGCUACCAACACUGUUGUCACAAAUAAAACUGUACAAAAAGUAAACACUAAUCACUCCUGAGCGCAAAGUACGUUCAAAACACUGAGAUUUUGAAGUAGGUGCCACUGCAGCAAAGCUUGUAACAUUGGUUUAUAGUGGUGAAUCUGUCACAUAUGCUUAAAAAAGUCAUUUGUUCAGGUCCUGCUUUUUGGUAUUUAAGUGUAGGAUGUGUUUUGUCUCAUAAAGACGCUUACAUCCAUGCAGAAACAUUGUAUAUGUACAGAAUUAUGGUCCUUACGGGGACCUGCCCACUACAAUCAGUAACAGUGAAAUUUACACAAACACCCCCGCUGGCUGUCCUUUACAUUCUUUCUCUUUCCUGUUUGAAUUCUUCGACUUUAUCUCUUCAGAUUCUUCUCCUCUCUCUCUCUCUCUCUCUCUCUCUCUCUCUCUCUCUCUCUCUGUCACUAGCAGCUCUGGUCAGCCAUUAAACUCCCUCUUAAGCCAAACCAGCAGAAUUCCCAGGCUGCUCGGCUGCCCGGGUUCACACCUUUUUGUCCACAGGAAUCUCAGGAAUCCCCAGCUUCCUUUUCCACCGCAAUCUCCAUUGUGUGUGUGUGUGUGUGUGUGUAAAGCUAUAAGAAGCAAAGGCCCCCGCCUGUGUUGUGUGUGUGUGUGUGUGUGUGUGUGUGUGUGUGUGUGUGUGUGUGUGUGUGUGUGUGUGUGUGUGUGUGUGAAAACACAUCUCCGCCCUUGUACCCACCCAGUUUGUGUCCACAAUAGUGUGAGUCACACUCAAAAACGACAAAAAACUCUCUGUUACUGUGAAACUUUACACUCUCAGACAAACUUGAGUGGACAUUUAGGGUCACAGUGAAAUUGAAGAACACAGAUUUUGUAAAUGAACUUUUGAGUCAGUAAAUACAAACAUAUACAUAUAUAUAUUUUACGUUGACACCAUGUUUUUCUUAUAACAGGCAAAAGUUUCGGGAGGUAACAUUAGCUUGUUAGUACAGGCAUUAAAAGCGUGGGAUACAUCUUAACAAAGAAAUCCAUUAGAGGGAUUUGAGUGAAUGAAAUGGGAUUAGUUUUAUAAAAAUACAAUAUAGAAAUAUUUUUAAAACUGUCAAUGACAAACGGAGUAAUGUGAUCCUGAAAAAUUGUGUUUGCGUGAAAAAAAAAUGACACUUGUAUUACAAAAAUAAGCAUAAAAUGAGGCGUUUAUAGAAUAUGAACAUAUCAAUUAAAAUGAUGAAAGCUUAAUUGUCACUUUUGAUGGAUUUUAACUUGCAGCAGAAAGUGUUAAGGUUCAAUUAAUGAGGAAUACAAAUACGUACAAACUCUGACAUUUUUGUUAUGACAAUAAAUAUUUGAGAGUCAGUUUUUGAAAGUCAUAGUUAUGCUACAUCCAGCUCACUAGCAGCUACUGCUUCUUCAUCAUCUUAACUAUGUCUAAUGAUGUGGCAACCAGCAUGAAGGAGAGAGAGACAAUAUCAUAGUAGAGUGAUAUGAUAUGAUAUAGAACAAAACCCAUGGUCUAAGAUGAUGAUAACACCAAUCACACAAUGAUACAUCACAAAAUCUGAUGAGCCUGAUAACAAAACAUGUCCGAAAAAAAUGAAGUUCACGUUUAAUGCCGUUUGCGUCACCAUGACAAGUCAUAAAGUUAGAUGAAGUGAGUCAUUCCAACAUCUACACAAAGAUGUAUUGUUUUUAAAGUGUCCAUAUUUGACUUCAGUGAUACACAGACUAUAUAUUUUUCUUUCCCUUAUUUUCUGGUCUAAAAUUUGUAAAGGCAAUCCUGCAGCCCUGUUUUCUUAACAUGAAAUUACCCUCAUUGUCAAGCAAAAUAUAUGAAUCUUAGUUCCAGUGAGUCAUUGUUCCUGGCUAAGAGAGAGCAGCUGAGUAAAAAGAAUAAUCUGUCUGAUUUUGGCAGGGAGGAGUCAAAUGAACCAAAAUAGCUCCAGACAAAAAAUUAUUUGUUUUCAGAGUUCUCACAGAGAAACCUCUAAUGAGAGGUGAUACUACGCCCAUCCAGACAAGAGUCAGUGCUCUUACAGUGUGACGCCUGCAGGUUAACACUGCCGUUUGUCCGCACGUCUGGAGUCGUUUACCCUCGCCAGCCCUGACUCAUCCCCCACCGGAGCCCAGCCUGCUGUCGGGGCUCAGCAGCACCCAUUCAACACGAUGAGAAACAUUCAGAAAAACCAAACACCAACCGGACACACGACAGGCUGUGAUUCACACACACCCACUCAAUCUCCAUCCACACAUAAGCAGCCACAGAGGCGUACAGGUCCAUGUCUGAAAUGUUGUUGAAGAGGCCAGCCAGGAGGUGAUCUAAGACAGAGGUUUAAACAUAACAUCAGGAGGAAAGGGAUGGUUCUCAAAGUGAGAAACAAAAACAAAACAAAUAUCUGCUGCAAGUUUGGGACUUUCUCUUAUCUUUCUCAGGGGAAACACAAGUCAGUUUUUUAUUUACCCUUAUAACAACUAUCCAAACAAUCUAAUUGAAGUUGUUGUGAAAAUUUGCUUAAAACUUUUAUGACUUUUAGGCGUUUUAUGACAUGUAACCUUUAACAGACAGAUCUCACAAAAAGCUCAUAUAAAACAUAAAUGGGGAGAAAUACAACAGCUAAAAAGAAAGAGAAUUAAAAGGAAAAUACUCAUUAAAAGUUGCAUCAUAGUAAAAAAAAUUACCUCACUUUGAAAAUUUGUCUGAAACUACGAGGGUGAUGUAUUACUCAAGUAAAACAUUAGCAAAGAAAAGGGCGUUUUUCACUGUAAAGUAGGUCGUUGUAUAAAAAAUACUUUCUAUUUCACAAGUAGAGAAUACAAAGUAAAAUGUAUAACACUGAAAUGAAAAUGAAAGUAAGAGAUUUUCAAAGGAUUAAUAGAUAUUUAAAAGCUUCGAUGAAAAAGAAAAGAGGACUUCGAUGAAAAAAUUGAGCAUAAGAUAAAAGGUAAAGAAAUGAACAAGCAUGGAAAAUUAAGAUGUUAAAAUUCAAGAAAAAGAAGUCUGAAAAGUCAUGAAAAGAAAUUUAUAGUUGGCCGAUAUCAGUUUUAAUGGUUGGUGCCAAUAAUGAAAGAGCAGAUCAGCUGGUGUCUGAUAUAUUCUAUAUCACAUUGUUGUUGUUGUUGUUUUCCAUUUCCAACAAUUUAAUAAGUCUAACAAAUAGUAAACAAAAUCAUAGUUACAUUACAGUAUCUGUUAUUGAUGUGAUAUGAUGUGAUUUGAGAAAGAAAAUUAUCAUUUUGAAAAGAUUAUUGUUCCAUUGGUCUUGUAGUGUUGUUACUUCAAAAUGUUAUUAAUCAUACUAAUUAAUUAGCAGACUAAUUGAUCAGUCCAUCUCUAUUGUGUGUUUCAGUAUCAUCAGCAUGUAUCAGUAUGUUGCAAUCAGAAAUAAUUAGUGGGAGGUUGUCAAUGAAAACUGAAAAAAAGAAGUGGUUUUAAGGUGGAGACAUGAGGCACACCCCUCAGAUAAGCUAAUCAGAUUUUUGACUUUUCACAACAACACUUUGCUUUCUGUUGUGUAAAUAAGAAUCAAAUCAUGGCAAUGCAUGCUGGGAAAAAUGUAUAGUGCAAAGUUUGUCCAAAAGUAGAUAUUGGGCCACCAUCUGAAACAUGAACAACCCUCUGCUUUGUCUCCAAAAGUAUUAACCCAACUGUUUUGAGCAGCACAACAACUGCAGUGAGAGUCACUCCUUGUUUAGAUAUUGCUUCAUAUUCAGGCGCCUAAAACAUCGUCAACCUCUGACCCACAGAGAUUGUCUCGUAGGGUUAACAAUAUAGAAUCAAAGGGAGUCUGCAGUAUUUAGGUCGAAUAUUACUCAACCCUGUUCGUUACAUGACUCACUGAAGUUAUUUAAAUAGUUAUGAAUGGAGCCUGACAAAGCCGCUCCUCCCCUUGUAUGUGUGUGCAUGUUUGCACACCACAAUGUGUGUAACGGGAGCGUAGCAUGGGUGCAGCCCGGCUUUUGAUGAGUCACAUGUGGAUCCUCUGUGAGUAACUAACCAGCUAUGUGAGUCCUGAAGUUUCAGACCCACACAGAAAACCCCUGGUCUCAGAGGGAGGGGGAGGGGCAGGGCAGGGUGGGGCGGCUCUGGACUGUUGAUGGGUGUGGUCUGCAGGAGUGGUGAGGCAGAGAAUAGAUGUGGGGUAAAAUAGCAGGAUGUAGGUGAGGACCGGGAUCUGUGAGUGGAAGGUGGAGGACGGGAUGGUGAGGGCAGAGUAAGGUCAGGAUUAGGGGAAAGAGGUCAUCGCUCAGGGUCAAAAAAUGGUAAUGACUACAUUUUACCUCACCCUGUUAUCUCCCUCUAAAUCUGUUUUUUAAUUUGAGGAGUUUUGUGUCUGUACACUCAGGUACUUUCUUUGAAUAACUCUGGUCACUGCAGAAUAACAUGUUUAUCAGCUUCUGCAUAUCAGUCAGUUUUGGUAAAUUUUGGUACUUUCUCUUUCUGUGGUCACACUCAGCUCUCUGACUCCAGAGGUGUCAAAAGUCCAAACUUUCUUUACCUAUAAACAAAAACAAACUUUUACACAAAAACACAGUGGCAAAAAAGGUACUGUUUAACUUUUGGUUCAACAAAACUCACUGAUAAUGAAUUUGUCAAAGUAACUUUGCAAGUCUGAUAUUGUUUCUAACACUUACCUAAACAUAGAAGGACAUAUAAGUAAUUUUAAAAGUAUUAUAGCCAAGCCUAACAAAACUACAGCUAGAUAUUGAUUCGAGAUUAUCACCUGCAUAAAAAUGUUGAGGUUAGCAUUAAGAAUUGACAAAUGUAUAAUUUUAAAGGUUUAGAUGGUUUAAAAAAAAAGGAAUUCAUUCUUUUGUUUUUUCAAGAAACUUAAAUUUGAUACUGGGAGUUUGGGGUUAAAAGUUAAGAGAAAAACACCAGAAUAUCUACCAAAAUAAAAAUAAAAAAAUUGCAAGUAGCCGCUUUUAAGUAAAGUGCAAUACAAAUACAAUAAUAAACAAUACAAAAGACACAUUACAUGACAAUAUAAGAUGACACAAAACAAUUCAUAAAUAUAUAGUAAAAUAAAAUAAAUCUCAAGAAAAAACAUUGCCUUUAGAUACAAAUCAAAAUAAAAUAACACACCGUAAUGAAAAAAGGUGAUACAGAGUGAUUCCAAAUCAAAACAAAACAUUUCAAAAGGAUACUAAACAACACAAAAUGAUAUAAUAUUAUACAAUUACAAAAUUAACAGUACAAUCAAAAGUAAUAUAAAAUGAUGCAUCAUAUUAAUAUACGAUAUAACGUUAAACACAUAAUAUCAUGUAGUUCAAUGCAAGCCAGUACAAAACAAUAUAGUUGAAAUGAUAUAUUUAAAUUUACAUUACAAUACAAUUUAUCUAUUUAUGUAAUAUGAGAAUUAUGCCGAUUGGCAUGGCAUUAUAUCUUAACAAUAAUUAUAACAAACUAAAUGCACAAGAGUUUAAAGCACGGUAAAACUGCAUAUAUAAUUGUUGUGUGUGUGUGUGUAUGAAUAUAUAUAAAUAAAUAAAUAAAUAAAUAUAUAUAUAUAUGUGUGUGUGUGUGUGUGUAUAUAUAUAUAUAUAUAUAUAUAUAUAUAUAUAUAUAUAUAUAUAUAUAUAUAUUUGUAUAAUUUUGCUGUAAAGUGAUAAAUGUAAACAAAUAUAAUGGAAUUCAUGAAAAAUUUGUCAAGUAUAAAAAUGAGGGUCAGUGUUCAGACUUUUUGGUUACUCAGCCCCCUCCUUGACAGCAUCCUACUCUUUUAUCAUGAUUAUAAAUGCAGUAUUCCUGUAAACCAGUGCAAAAAAUGCAUGAUGUUAGUUCCUACAUUUAGUGGGUAUUUGUGCAUCUGGUUCUGGACAACAACAUAAUGUAUAUUAAGAGAGAAGGCUGGGACUUAAUUAUAGCUUAGUUUGGACUGAAAACGAAAUAUGAAACAGGACUACUUUAGCUUUUAUCUUUUGCAGGUGAUUUUCUGAAACAAGCAUAAGAUGCUCUUAUAUAUUUAUUUGUGUGGGGUGUGUAAACUAUGUGUGUGUCAGUGUGUGUGUGCUGCCAGUGGGGCUGGAAGUCAUAAAGCACCCUCUACUGUGGCCGCUGUGUGUGUUUUCAGUGUGGGGGGGCGGCCGUCCCUGCCUCCUUUCCCUUUUUUAAGAAGCUGGGACCCUUUUUUCUACAGACGCCCCGACUCUCUGGCCAGGGGGAGUUUCCUGCUUUUGAAGACACACACACACACGCUCAGAGAGAGAGAGAGAGAGGGAGGCUGCCCUUACUUUUUCCUCCUCCUCCUCUCCCCCUCCCUCUCUCCUCCUCUCUUUUUCUGAAUGGAUGUCCUCUCUCUAACCUCAAUUGAGCGCUGUGUAACAGGACACUGCCCUCUGCCGCAACAGGCUCAGCCCCCUCUUUAACACUAUAAGAGAGUGCGGCGGCGCUCCCGAGAGCGUGUGUGAGGGAAAGUAUGUCCGACAGUGUCAGUCUGAGGGAGAGAAGGAGGGAGGGAGGGUGAGGGAAAAAGAGAGAGAGAGAGAGAGAGAAACAUGUGAUAGCGUAACUUUGGCGGGGCUUGUUGGGAGUUUAACGGCUGUGGUGUCUCCAGAGCUCUGGGAAAGCACCUUUAGCCCAGAGGGAGCCUCACACACACUCACACACACACACACUCAGACACACACUCAGCCUCUGUCAGUGUGUGUGUGUGAGAAACUGUGUGUGUUUAGAGCUGCUGUUACUGAUUACACUCUGAAGAAUGCAGCAGCAGGAGGAGGAAAAAGAGAGGAGAGACAUGAAAAGAUGAGAUCUUUUAGGAUUUUUUUUUUUGCGUGUGACUUGCUCUCCCAGCCGUGGACAGUGACGUGGGUGAGAAGUUGUUACCCAAUCGCGUCUCUCCCCUUUUCUCUCUCCCUUUUUUUCACUCAAGCAAAGUUAAAGAGAGAGGGGAAGCCGAAGGGAAAGGACACCCAGCAAAGUCAGACCGGUGAGCGUGAGGAGGGGGGGAUCCCUCAUUCCUGAGCCGGGAGGAAACUCACCCAGACGGGUAAGUAAAGAGGAAAAAAAGGGAGAGAGUGUGUGAUAGAGGGGGGCAAUGCUCCCAGAGAGUUGAUGGAUAUCAUAUGUUAGAUGUUAAAGCUUAGGAAACUGCUCCCAGAUCAGUUUGGGAGCAGGAAACGCAGUCAGCUGAGCGUGUUUGUGAAAGUUUGAGCGUCAGGAUGAUCUUUACUCCAUGAGCCGGUGGGUGUCACGCUGUGGGAGUUUGGGGUAGCGUUACCUCACAGAAGAGCUGAUUCACUGUUACAUAGCCGGCUUGUGUGUGUGUGUGUGUGUGUGGAUCACACACUCUUUGAGGGGCUUAUUACAGUUCAAGGAUUAACUGAGAGGAACAAUGUAUGCUAUCUGUGCGUAAAAAUAGGUCUAAUCUGCAGUUUUUUUCUUCACUUCCUCCCUGUCACGCUGUUUUCUCCCCCCCCCCCUCUCGUGCUCUGACACAGAUAGCACAGUCCACUCUUGCAGCUCAGCAGCAGAGGGCAUGAAUGAACGGGGUGGAGGGUGAGGGAGGUGAUGAGGAAGGAGGAAGGAGAGGGGGGUGGAUGCAUGUAGUAUCAUACAGCACGGACAGCGCAGUGUGGCUUCUUUAUGAAUGGACGUGGCAGCCGCGUGAUGUGAUUGGCUGAGAGCAGAGUGACGAGUCAUGACUGCAAGAGCCCGAGUGUGUGGAUUCAUUUUAAAGAGAGCGUGUGUGUGUGUGUUUCAGGGGGGAAAAUGUGUGUGUUAGUGGGACACAGAGAGAGUGUUUUUGUGUGAUUCAGUCCUGGUGGUUCUGGGUUACAUGUGUUUGUCUAAAGGGGGCUUAGUCACUGGCUCAACAGUGGGGUGUGUGUCUUAAAAUCUGGACUUUUAAAAGCGGUGGCGGUCUGCCCGGCUGUUGUUCCUCUUCAGAUGAGCUCCCACUCGCUCCCACUCGCUCUGACUAAGACCACGCUCGCUCCAGCUCUCAUUACUCUUACUCACUUGUCAUGUAAUCAGAGGGCAGGUCUCCAGACUUCAUGCAGUAAUAUCACUGCUGAAUCACUCGCUGAACUCGUGAAACUGUAAUGUCUUCUGCGUGACAUUUACUUUUUUGGAUUUCCGUUCAAUAAUUUAAGGGAAAAGUGGACACCAAAAUUAUCUGUAAUCACCUCUAACUCUCAAAGAGAUCCAGGGACUGAGUGUGUCAAAGUACAAGUGUGUAUAUCACCAGUAAUAGUCACUUAUUACAAAUAAUAAAACACAUGCGAAACUUUUUUAUGCAAUAAUAAAGUAAAACAGAAAUUAAUUUUUGUUACUAAAUCAUGAAAAACAAGUGAUUCAUCCAUUCAGAAAUGAUGCCAAGUGCUUCUCUGGUGAGAUCUGAUGUUUGAAGAAUGAAUGAAAAUUAAGUUAUUUUUCUCUCAUUUCUCAUUUCUCUGAACUGAUUAGUCACUGCAUGACUUUUUAAUUUUUGCAUGUCGCAUUAUUUACUUUGCACAUGUAAACACCUGAGUUAGAGAAUGACAGUUUGCAACUUUUAUAGCAGCUUAUUUGAUGGUUCAAGUCAUGAAACUGAAUUAAAAAAAAACAUUAAAAGUUCAUAGAAGAAUGAGUUUUCCACCUCUCUCUUUUCUUUAUCUUCCAUACUUACUGAGGGUAUUUUAAGUGUUUUUAGUUGGGUUGUAUUUAAGAGAGGUUCAUUUAGGACAAGUUGCUGCAUUACUUUUUAUUUUUGAACAAGUUGAAUUAUUUGAAAUACUUUAAAGUCAAUAAUUGUGUACAUGUAAACACCUGUGUUGCAGAAUGACAGUUUGCAACUUAAAGCAACUUUUAUAGGAGCUUAUUUGAUGGUUCAAGUCAUGAAACUGAAUUUAAAAAACAAAAGUUCAUAUGAGAAUGAGUUUUCCACCUCUCUCUUUUCUUUGUCUUUAUUUACUUUUACUGUACUUACUGAGGGUAUUUUAAGGUUGUAUUUAAAAGAGGUUGUUCAGUUAGGACAAGUUGCUGCAUGACUUUUUAUUUUUGCACAAGUUGAAUUAUUUUGAAUACUUUAAAGUCAAUAAUUGUGUACAUGUAAACACCUGCAUUGCAGAAUAAGAAUUUGUGAGUUGAAUGGAACUUUUAAAGUGGAUUUUAGUAAUGUUAAAAAUUAUCAAACAGGGUAGAGUUAUUGAAAAAAAAUUAACUGAGAGUGAUAAGAUAUCUUGGCAGUCUUUUAUUGCACUUAAAGUAUUUUAACUGAUUUCAGUGGUGUUGUGAUUAAGGGAUGUUGUUAUUUAUCUAAUGUCUACUCACAUGUUGAUGCAGGACUUUUUAUUUAGAGUCAACAAUUUUGCACGUUAACAGAUAAGCAGAAAAAUGACGGUUUUCAGGUUGAAUCUUUUUUUGUAAAAGUUAAAAUUGUUGUACAGAAUGAAACACAUUUAAAGAUUUAUACAAGACUGAUCAUGUUUUAGCCGAAACAUUUUUGCCUUUACUUGGUGGGAUAGCUUCAGAGGGAAAUAAGACGCCCAGGUGGUACUUUUUAACUUUCCUUUAAGUAUUUUAAAGAUUUUAGUAGGACUGUUUUUGAGAAAGGUUGUUUUAAGUGUUUAAACGGUUUUAUUUUAAAACAACCAAAUUGAGAAACAAAUUGCCUCUUUUUUUUCAAAUUGCUGAUUCUACUACCAAGUUAAAAUCAUAAAUUAUGAACCAUAAUUACUCAGAAGUGUAGUGUGCAGUGGCAAUAUGAAAUAAAAGUCCAUCUGUCUGUUUGAAUAAGUGUUUUUGUUUUGUAAAAUUUGAAUUAUCCUUUUGCACCCUCACGCUUCUGCAGCUGCACAGAAUGGACAUAUAGUGACAUUCAUGUUUUUAUAUUGAGUGAAUUACAGUGUGAAUUGCACUGGUUGGGAGAUGAAGAAAAAGGUUGUUGUUGUGCACAAAAUAACUCGCACUGAUCAACAUUUUUGAUCAUAAAAAUUUGUCUUCAAAGGCCACUGUAGCUUCACUGAUGAAAGUGGUGAGCAAGGGAGCAUCUCACUCUCGAAGAUCACUAAAUAUUCACGUCUGUUCACUGUUUUUUAAGAGUCAUGGUAAUUUUGCAGAGUUACUGAGGUAUUUCAGUAUUUCAUUCACUUUUGUCAAAUUCUUUUUAUCAAGCUUGAACAUAUAAAAGGACUUCUUUGCGUAUUUUUCUUUGUAUAAUUCAAGUUUCAAGUCAGCUGAAGCACAGGGGUUCUGUUGCUCUCAUUAUUUCUUCUGUUUAGCACCAAAACCUCAAGAAUAAUUCCGCUUUUCUGUAAACAACUUUGCAGCAAACCUCAGUCUGUUCUGACAUCGUUACACAUGGUGGUUUGAGGGUCACGAUAAUCGUAUGGUUCCUAAAGAAGUGCAGUACUGUUUGACUCUUUUAGCAGCUCUUCCUUCACAUUUUUACAGAAAUACUGUAAAUUUUAUUGUUUCUUUUCCUGUCAAUUUUCCUGCUCACUUGCAACUACAUUUAUGUUUCUUCUUGUGUCACUAUUCUGCAUUAAAACACUGGAAAUGUUCAUGUUGUGUGAACCAGCUUCACAACAAGACUCAAACCACAGGACUCAAGACUCUUAAGAAUAUUGUAUUCUUACUAUGAUAUUGUAUUUAUGUAUAUUUAAGGCAGUCUUUAUAUCUCAUAAUUGAUCAAAGUGAAGAUUACAGUUUAAGUUUAUCUAUUUGUAUUUUAUGUCCCAAAACUAGUGAUGAUGUUAGUUCAGGCAGGCCAGGAAAACUAGUUAACCCACCUUAAACCUGGCGCUUAGCUGCUACUCUCUAUCUCAAGCUUUGGCAUUUCCUGUAUGCAUGUAGGCAGCUGUACAUGGGGGUCUUUGCUGCUGCUCUCUCUGCCUCAGGUUUUGGUUCUUCAGACCUCCAUGCUUAACACGCAUGCACAGCUGGAUCUGUUUCCUUGUUUUACUGCCACUGAAUGACAGCCGCUCCUUUAACUCCACCAAAGUUUACUGCAGUUUCACGUGGAACACUUUCUUCUUCACUGCUAGAAACUCCAGCAUAAUGGUAGUUUAUGGCUCUAGUGUGUGUCUAAAUGUGUUAGUGUGUGUCUGUGUGAGUGAGGAGUUGUGAUAAGGUGCGUAACUGUCACAUCAUAGCGCAGAGGAUCUAUCAGCUCUUAUCGGGCGGCGUUUCCGGCUGAGUUUGAGAUAGGAGGACGGAUUGGCGGUGAGAUGCAUCGCAGGUAUCUUGAUGAGGGUGGAGAUUAAAUUCCCAGGUGGAGAUUAGCUGGAAUCUGCCCCCUUGCCUUAUCAACCUGCCGACACAGAAUGAACUCUGACCCCGCAGCCUGCUUGGCAGGAAGUAGAGUUGACCUCGAUCCAGGUUCCAAUUACACUUCCGGGACAAAAAUCAUGCGUUUGUGAAACACGUGAACCAUUCCUUUAAAAUCUAAUCAUAACUAUGAGAAAGUUUACACAGGUGACAUGAGUUUAUGAAACACUUAUUUGAAAGAGUGCUUCAUUCCCUUUUUGAAGGAUCACAUUUUAUUGAAUAAGGACACAAUAACUGGAUUUUUAUGUACUUUUAAAAAUGGAGCAUUAGAAUGAAGUCGAAAACUUAUCGAGAAAAUCCAACAUCGAGCAUGAUUUCGUGAUUAUUUCCUAACUACAUUUACCCAAAAACCUACUUAAUUUUAAAUUUUUGCAAUGACUGAUGCUUUGUUUUAUUUCAUUUAAUUAAUUUUUUAAAUGCUUAUUUGUUCCUGUAGUUUAGGAACUUUUUCAGCUUACUCCCUGCGAUAGAGAACUUUUUCUAGCCUCUCAUAACUUUUCUUUCAGACUUAUCAUCGAAGUAUUUUUUAACACAAGGCAUUCUACAGAGUCUGUAUAAAGAUCGGUGGAUGAACAGAUGAUUCAGUGAGGUGGGACAGAUUACAGGGACACAAGUCACCACACUGACUGAACCUCAUUCUCUGCUCUGAAUGAAGCACACACACAGAAACACACACACUCACACACACUUGGGCUGCAGUAAGUCAGGCGUUGGGUAAAGUUUCUUAAAGUGGGUUAAGCGGCACAAGAAGGAUCUUAACCAUCACUUGACUCAUUCCUUCUUUUCUUUGCCCGACUUUCCUUUUCACAUGACUCGUCUUUGUUUAUCCAGCAACAAGUCACUCUCACAAGUCCGUCAUUCAGCGGCAGAUUGUGCAGUUAAGAGCUUAGCCGCAUAACUCAGAUGUCACAGGGCUGAAAGCAGUUUGGUUCAGCCCGUUAAUGUGUGUGCGUCCUCUGUGUGUGCGUGUGUCUGUGUACUCAGGAACACUCGUUCCAACGGUGUGCUAACCACACACACCUGGCCUGUUUCCUCCCAUGCUCAUAUAUGGGCAAAGCUUCCCCUACCUGGGCCCCACUCUGGAUUCCAAUAAGUGGCAGUAUGUGUGUGUGUGAGCGUGCGUGAAAGAGGCUGUGGAGACGGAUGCACGUCAUGGAAAACCAGGAUCAAUGGGCACGGCCGCAGAGCUGCGUUUUUAAGGUGUUCCUUUUGUUUUCCAAAGGUAAUCAGUGAACACAAUGACUCAGCCGGGCCGAGGCGGGCUGACUAUUCAGAGUGUCCGCAGCAAGACGACGUCAGAGAGAUGCAGCCGUCAUAUAACUAUUAUAGGAGAUAAUCCAAAUAUGAAGCAGGUACAAGAAACUCCCUAUAGAUCAGAUUUUAGAUCAAGAAUCCAGACAUGUCUUUGGUCAAUCAGCAGGAGCACUGAGCCAAAAGAGAUAUAGUCAACUGCUUUUGACUUUAUUUGAAAUAUUUUCUUUACCCUUCAUCCAAAGAGACUCUCUAGAGACUCCAAAAUACAUAAACUCAAAUUGUGCUGCUUGUAUUAAAGUUAAUCCAGCGAUGAAGCAGGUAGGAGAAACUUUAUUGUUAGAUAUUAGAUCAGGAAUCCAGCACUUAAUAGAAGUAAGACACACCAACAAAUAUUGAAACUUCAUUUUAAGAUUAUUUUCUGUUCUUGUUUUCUCAAGGUGAUUUUUAAAAGACCUACAAAGAUUUCUAGGGCACAGAAAGUCAGACUACAGACCUCUUUUUCAAUGUAAUCCAGCAUCAAAGCAAGCGAAACAAAAUCCCUGUGAGUCAUGUUUGAUAUUUAAAAUUCCACUCUUAAUUUCAGCUAAGCUGAGGCAUGAACUUUAAGGAAUAUUUCAACACUGAAUAUCACAAAUCCUUUGAAUUUUAACCUCAGUGACCCCCUUUAUCCCUAGAGACUUUUAAAGCAAAGUGCUUUUUGAUUGAGUCUUAAUUUUUCUUGCCUCAAAGGAAAAAUUUUUAAAACUUUACUGAAAAACUGAAUUCACGUUUUAAGAUUUUGAUGCACAAAUUCUUUCUGGAGGAUAUGUAAGAACAAGUGAAAAAAAGGUUUUAAAACACAAACACUGUGGAAAUGUAGGUGUUAUUUAAAGACACUAAAACCAAGAUCAGGUGCAUUAUAUGAAAAACGACUUUAACUUUCAAACAUUGAAAAAUACUAAUCUUUUUGUGAGUUGUUUCCUAAAAGUCUGGAUUUUCCCUACCUUAAACUUUUCAAGGCAUAUCUACGGUGGCCCUUGAGGUCAAGUGCACAACCAUUUCAUGACCACAAAAAGCAUUUCAUAGAGUUUUGAAAAACAUUCUUCACAUUUUGUGAAUUAGUUUUGCAUUUUGUUAAAUAUAUUGUCGUGUUUUGUGAAAUGUUUUCUGGUUAGUAACUUUUUGAAUUACCAUUUUUUUGUGUUUUGUAAAGCGCUUUUACUUUCUGUAAAAUAUUUUUGUUUUGUAAAUUGUUCAUGGAUUUCAUGACACAUUUUUUUGUGCUCAUGAAAUGUUUGUGAAUGUUUAACGCUUUUAAAAAGAUUUUUUAAGACCUAGUGCGCAGUUAUGUAUAUAUAUUUUAGCUAGAACUAAAACUGCAGUUAAUUAAUACCAAAAAUUAAAAAAAAUUCAACAGUCAAGCCAAUACUCAGUCAUUUUGACAGUUAAAACUUUAAAAACUAUUUUAAAGCUGUUUGAGUCUUUUUUUUUAAAACAAAAAACUCUAAAGUACAAGUUUUCAUAAAUGCCAUGAAUGUUCAGUUUUAUCUUAAAAUACAGAGAAGUUUGGCAAGUUAAUGAGUGCACAGUUUUUUGUUAAUAUGUAACUGUAUAUGUAUGCAAAUUCUUCCACAUACACUUAAUCAUUAAAAAUCUAAAGCUUAUAUAUUUCUUUGGGAUUCUCCUUUUAAAAGCUUUAAAAUCAAACUUAUUUAUCUCUAAUUUCAGGAUGGAUUAGAUUACGAUCGAUAAAAUCCUCCGAGAAAAGUUCACUUAAUAUAACUUAAAUAAUGGCAUCCGCUCAUGUCUGUUAUACCGGAGGGAUUACUUCAUCAAAAUUCAACUUCUUGAAUAUAAUUACAGAUUCUGAGAUGAUAAAAUUAACCGGCACCAAUACUUCCUCAAUUUAACUUCUGGUAUUUUAACAUCUCUUAACUCUGCAUUGGUUUUUGUCGUAAAAAUCUGUAUAAUUGAGCUAAUGCUGUGUGAAUUAUGUAAGUCUAUAAAUGAUCAUAGAUUUUUCAAGAACACUUUUUUGGGACUCUUAUCAAACCAGUGGAUCCAAAACUAUAAGAAGAAAUAUAGAAACAUGGUCAUGAUAUUCUUUAAGAGCCUGGAGACACUUCUUGUCUCCUAAAUCUGUUUGGCCUAAAGCUUGUACGAGUUACGCUCGAUCUUUAAAAGGUUUAUUUAAGAUUAUACCAUUUCUGCAAAUUUUGCAGUGCAUGCAUCCUAAAGUGAAAGGUCACAAAGAGACGAAGGACGAUACUGCGUGUAAGAGGGAAGCUUUUACUUUCUGUUGCAUGGAGAACGAAGGGUUUCUGCAUCUUUGGGUUUCAUUUAAGAUAGAUUUAUUCAGGAUCAGACCCUGUGAGAGGCUGUCUCCAGAAGGAUAAACCCUGUGACCCCACAAAGGUCAAAAGGUGAGGGAGACUCCUUCUUUCCCUCCUCUUUCUGUACUCCUCUGUUUCUCCCUCCUCUGCCGCCUCCUUUCUUCGCUUGCUGCACGUUUGCCAGGCCUUCAUAAAGCAGCUCGAGGAGGGAGUUAGCUUUCCUCGCUCGUGUUGCCAACUCUUUCCCAUCAGUCCAGCCCCCUGGAAGACUCUGCAGACUCCCCACUCUCCCUCUCUCCCUCUCUCUCCCCCGGCCUAAAGCCGAGCCUGGGGCUGGGGGACGGGGUACAGGCCGUUGUGUUCGAGGUGGGGGCUCCCUCUGGAGAAGCUCUUUGCAGGCCUGGAUUUAGUCUGCACCUCCACGACAGCCACCAAGCAACACCCAGAGGAAGCGUUUGAGAUCGGCUUACAUAUGAAGCCUGGUUCAUCUCCUGAGUUUUAAAAUGAGGAUAGAAAGAAAGUGGGAGAUGGUGGAAAAGGAGGGGGAGACACAGAAGGGGAAAGACUUUGGAGAGCGAUGAGAGGUGGCGGGGAAGACGGAGACUCCAUAACCUUGGUGUCUCUGCAGAAUCAGACACAUUGGCUUCGUCUCUUUGGUUGGACACUUUCACUCAACCGUAACGACCGAUCAGACGAACAGACCGGGCUUUAAUGGAAGCUGAAGAGCUGAGAACUGAUAUCUGAUUGGCUGUCGGCCUCGUGGAACAACUGCUUAAUUGGUGGCGAAACUGGUGGCGAGCGCUGCAUCAAGACAAGACCCUGUCUGCAAGAUGACUAACAGAUGAGAGAUCGAAAUGAUUGGUGCAGGAUUCAUGAACAAAAAUAAGGGAAGCGAUUUCUAAUGUUGGAACUUUUCAUCAGUAUCGAGGAGGGCAGGGUCCUCUGUGCAAAAGGAACAAGGACCAAAACCAACGCUGGAUGGAUCUUACGGUCAGCACUGCAUUGAAAACAGACAGGACUCUGUAGUGGAAAUCACUGAUCACUUCCAAAAACCAUCAUCUGUGUCCACAGUUCAUCACUGCAUCCACAAAUGAGGUUGAAACUGAACCAUGCAAAGAAAUAAACAGAUAUAAACAUGAUCCAGAAGCACCAGAGACUUCUCUGAGACCUGAGGAAUCAAAAUCGGACAUUCUUACUGGUAAUCAUGGUCAUUGCGUCCUCCACUCUAAAGAACAGAGGGACCAUCUGGCUUGUUAUCAGCUCACAGUCCAAAGCCAGCAUCCCUGAUGGUAUGGGGCUCAGAAGUGUCCAUGGCAUGGGAAGCUUCCACAUCUGUGAAGGAGCAACAUCUGCUGACAUCCAGACAAUGACCUUUUCAGGGAAGACCUUCAUAUUUCAGCAAGGCAGUCAGUUCAUUUACAUGACACUCGAGAAUACCGAAUUAUUGCCUUAUUCCGAUUAAGACCGAACAACUGAAGUGCACGUAAACACCUUAGUCCGACUAUAAUCGGAGUUUGAGAACUCUGAUUAAGACACCCAGAUAAUGCGAUUGGAAUUCGAUUUUCUCUACCAUGUAACCAGCGUAGACGGAGUAUGAUCGGACAAUGCAUGUGUGUACGCCACACCCUUGUAACCCCGGAACAAAAACACCAGAGAAGAGGAGUAGUGUGCAUCUCAUCUUCAGAAAAAGUAGCCCGUUCAUCAUGUACAACAAAAACGACACUGUACGAUGCUCCAUCUUCUUGCUUGGAAAUGCCCAGCAGCAGUUGUAGACACUUCUGACGUCUGGCAUGGACCUGCUGCUGUUGUUGACCGUUGUAUGGGGUCGGAUACGCGCCGCUGAAAAGACCCAUAUCACCCACAAGUUUUAGGGAGAAGGACACGUUCGCAUCAAUAAUUCGUGGACAAGGAGACAAGUCCAAUUUGGCGGAAAGAACGAAUUAUGAGCUUUGUCCGAUCAAGCUGUGCAUGUAAACGCACUGAAUGACCGACCACAUUCUGCUGGGAUUACAACAGCGUGGCUCUGUAGUAGAAAAGUCCUGCCUUAUAACUUUUUGAGCAUCAUGACACAAAAAAAAACAGGACAAAGGAGACCCUGGACCAUUAAGAACACGAGGCUUUUGUAUUUUAAUAAAUGUUAGAGUAGAUGAAUUUUCCCCAGUAUGUUAAGAACGAAAGAAAAGAUCGCUUUAGACUCUAGAUGGUGUUUCAGUGAAGGUUACAGGGACUUCAGGUCGAGGAAGGGAGUGCUGGGAAUCCUGAGGAAAGGGUGAGGAUGGGUGAUGCAGGGGGGGAGGACGGGUGAGGCCAGGCGUGCCUUCCAUUCCUGCCUGCUCGGGGUGAGGCUAUUCCUAGAGUGUGGUGGAUGGCAGUUGAUGUGGGUUUCCUCUGAGCUGCCUGGAAGAUGACUGGCCCUGACCACAUCCACAUUCACACACGCACACACGUACACACACCAGACACACAGUGACAACUGUACAGCAAACACACACAUGCAGAAACAUACACACAUUCACAUGCAUAAACACACACGUUGUAAGGAGAGGAAAGAGGAACUGAAUCAUUACGCUGCCUCAGCCUCUAAGCUGGGGGUGACCACUGUACAACUAUUUGUGUGUGUGUGUGUAUGUGUGUGUCUGCAUGUGUGUGUGUGUGUGUGUGUGUGCAAAGAUACGUUGCAUUUCUGCAGUAAAGAGACAUCAGCUCUUUGGUUGUGUGUCUGGGCUGUUUGUUGCUCAAGUAUGUGUGGGCAUGUGUGUGUGGGCGGGUGUGUAGGAUGUGUGAGCUGGGUGUGGAUGCAUUCCCUCAAUGUGUGUGUGUGUGUGUGUGUGUGUGUGUGUGUGUGUGUGUGUGUGUGUGUGUGUGUGUUUGCCUCCCUCCAUCUGUAAAGCUUAGGACUCAGUGUGUUCGGUUAUUCUCCAGAAAAAAUAAACCUGGAAAUCUUACAGUGUUCAUUAAAAUUGGCUUCCUGAAUUUUUCAAAAUCCAUAUUUUGCAUGCAAACACAUUCUGCACAAAGUCUUUGAUUCACACGCAACUGCAAACGUGACGUGCAAAGUCCUUUUGAAUCAAGACAUACAGCGUUUGCGUGAACAUAAUGAGUGACAAUUAGCUUAAAUUUCCCUGCAUGUGCUUCAUUUAGUAUUCGAGAUUGGGUUUUGGUUAUAUUUCAGUAUUUAUUUCCAUCUAUAAACCGGCAUAUGUAGAGAAGUCCUCCCUUUCUGUCCUGUAACUCACAGGCAUGUAUUUCAAAAGGCUCUGCUGGUUGGAUUCACUUGUGCAUAAACUCAAGCUGAUUGUUGCCUUCUUGAACAAAAUAGAAUAUUCAUCUUUGUGCUUUCAUCUUAUGCUCAAAAAACAGUUUUCUUGCUGAUGUUGUUGCAUAAACUUGACCAGAAAGCAUUUAGAUCCCCUUAUUUCUCUAUCCACCCUCACCUGCAUUUCUAUAGAAUCUAUGAAGGAGACUUCUCAUUUUCUAAUCACUGAUAAAUCAUCUGUAUUUCAUGUGGAAUUUAAAAAAAAAACAUAUUUUUGCAACAUAAUGGUAUUCAGAUUCACCAAAAUUAAAGCUUUAUAUCAAACCAUGUCUGAGUGGGGAUAGACUUGAGUUUGGUUUCUCAUGAGUUAUUUUUCAGUCUGUUUUAAACUCGGAUCACAAAGAGAAAAGAACGUUUUGAAUUUCCUCUGACCUCACCCUGCUAUCAUGUCGAGUCCCACUAAGCAAAGGCUUCAGUUUCGAUGGAAAAAUCAGAUGAUAAAGUGACUUCAGGUACAUCUGAGCUCUCUGGCAGCAUCACCAAAGCGUGGAAAAAAAGACAGAGAUAAGACAUGGAAGACGUUAUCAGCUUAUCUGUCGCCCUGUGAGCUUAUUCAGGCUCGCCAGUCUGGACCUGUCAAUAUCACAGUCCCUCUCGAGGUGCCGAUGACAGCUAUGACAAACAGCUGGGAAUCCUGAUUUAACCUGUAUCACGAUAACACGACAAGUUUCUGACCUCCCGUUUUCUUUCUUUAUGUUUUUCAGGUCGUCUUUUGUGCACCAGCUCUUCCACAAAUACCACCCGUGUGCUUCUAAAUCUACACCAAGCAGAGGUAAGAAGUCGUCCCUCGAUUUCUGCAGUUUUCUUUUCAUCUCUCUUCUCUGACUCCCACACCUCCACCCUCUUUGUGCAAACUGUAUUCCCUGCAGCAGAGAACAGAGCCCGAGGCAACAUCCCUUUACACCUCUUCAUAUCCCCCUUCGUUUAAAGCUUCGGCAGAGAGAGAGAAGGACUGAUGAUAACUCUUAAAGUUCACAGGUCAAAUCAGUCAAUACGCUGUCAGAGGAAAGAGGGAAAAAGCACAAGUCACACAACCUCUUCAAACCUUUUUCUCCUUUCGUUUUGUUGAUCCAAAGCUGCAUCAUGGAAGCAAACAGUGUUCCUCAGGGUUGUUAGAAAAGUAUUGAAAUUGACGCGAGUUUAAAAAAGUUCAGACAAGACAGAUGUUGAAGAAAAAUAUUUGUAUUGCAAAGCUCUUUCCACUUUUUUGAUGAGUGAAAAAGACAGAUCUUCAUUUGUGUUUCUUAUCUGCCUUUGUUAGGGGGAAACAGAUUGCGGGGCUGCAAGCUGAGCCGUUGACUGUGCACAGUGUUGGGAUUUCUCAAAUAAUUAUGUCUUUCUAAGCUUUUUCCAAAGAGCCAAAAUAUCCACAGAAGUCCUCUUCUCUCUGAGACAAAAAAAAUGAGUCAGUAAAAACCUGUUAACUACCUGAAAGAGACGGUUUACUUGAAAAUUCAGGUUUUUUUAAUGCACUUUGGUGAAGCCAGCCUGGUACAUUAACAUUAACUGCUGCUGACUUGUUUUCUAGCUAUACAAUCAGUUGAAUUAGUAAGAGAGAGUGAUUCAACAACUUUUAGUGCAUUAAGGAAAACAUUGAUUGUAAUUUUUAGUAGAAAACAAGGACUAUUUUAGCGGUAAAAUGUGAGACACGAUAGGCUGAUUUCUGAAUUUGCUGAAGUGUUGAAAUGCAUUUAAAAAACUGAUAGUCAAAGCUUUAUUCUUCACUCUUCCUUGCCAUUAAAAUCUAGUUAAACUGACAAAAUGAACAUCAGGUUUAGCCCUAGAAUAAUCAUACUCAGAUGUACUUUUUUGCCUGAACAAAACUAUUUGUUGCAUUGAAAUGUAACCCUGGAAAGGUCUGGAAUAUUGCGGUGAAAUAGGUAAAAGGUGAGAGAGAAAUAGAGACGGACAGAAAGAGCAGAGAUGGUGACAGAGAGCUGGAAUGUGAGACAGAGAGGGAGAGCGUCCAGCAGCACAUUUCCCUUAAUAAAAAGAAAUUGGAGUCAAGUGAUGAUCAGCUGGUCAGAGGACGUUUGAUCAAUACGGUCACGGGGCCUCAGGUAUGCAGAGCUCGGCGUGUGGCGUGUGACCGCAGAGAGAGGGAGAGGGAGAAGGAGGAGGGAGUCCUCCCUCUCUCACCUCCCGCUCCUCUCCUUCUGUGGUCACCUGUGCAGGUCGUCCUUUAUUGAC